RNAcentral lists this ribosomal RNA (492 nucleotides) under uncultured bacterium. RNAcentral describes it as "partial 16S ribosomal RNA". It matches the Rfam family "Bacterial small subunit ribosomal RNA", at positions 29 to 507 of the family's 1533-position model. The record is from RNAcentral.
AGUGAACGCUGGCGGUAGGCCUAACACAUGCAAGUCGAACGGCAGCACAGUAAGAGCUUGCUCUUACGGGUGGCGAGUGGCGGACGGGUGAGGAAUACAUCGGAAUCUACUUUUUCGUGGGGGAUAACGUAGGGAAACUUACGCUAAUACCGCAUACGACCUACGGGUGAAAGCAGGGGAUCUUCGGACCUUGCGCGCUUGUAUGAGCCGAUGUCGGAUUAGCUAGUUGGCGGGGUAAAGGCCCACCAAGGCGACGAUCCGUAGCUGGUCUGAGAGGAUGAUCAGCCACACUGGAACUGAGACACGGUCCAGACUCCUACGGGAGGCAGCAGUGGGGAAUAUUGGACAAUGGGCGCAAGCCUGAUCCAGCCAUACCGCGUGGGUGAAGAAGGCCUUCGGGUUGUAAAGCCCUUUUGUUGGGAAAGAAAAGCAGCAGGUUAAUACCCCGCUGUUCUGACGGUACCCAAAGAAUAAGCACCGGCUAACUUCGUG